This 621-nucleotide ribosomal RNA is filed under the name Gomortega nitida. RNAcentral's name for it is "eukaryotic LSU rRNA". It matches the Rfam family "Eukaryotic large subunit ribosomal RNA", at positions 25 to 642 of the family's 3401-position model. Lineage: Eukaryota; Viridiplantae; Streptophyta; Magnoliopsida; Laurales; Gomortegaceae. The record is from RNAcentral.
CCGCUGAGUUUAAGCAUAUCAAUAAGCGGAGGAGAAGAAACUUACAAGGAUUCCCCUAGUAACGGCGAGCGAACCGGGAACAGCCCAGCUUGAAAAUCGGACGGCUCCGUCGUCUGAAUUGUAGUCUGUAGAAGCGUCCUCAGCGACGGACCGGGCCCAAGUCCACUGGAAAGUGGCGCCGGAGAGGGUGAGAGCCCCGUCGUGCCCGGACCCUGCCGCACCACGAGGCGCUGUCGGCGAGUCGGGUUGUUUGGGAAUGCAGCCCCAAUCGGGCGGUAAAUUCCGUCCAAGGCUAAAUACCGGCGAGAGACCGAUAGCGAACAAGUACCGCGAGGGAAAGAUGAAAAGGACUUUGAAAAGAGAGUCAAAGAGUGCUUGAAAUUGUCGGGAGGGAAGCGGAUGGGGGCCGGCGAUGCGCUUCGGUCGGAUGCGGAACGGCGUUCAGCCGGUCUGCCGCUCGACUCGGGGCGUGGACCGUUGCGGGUAGCGGCGGCGGCCUAAGCCCAUGCGGUCGAUCCCGCGUGCGGAGACGUCGUCGUCGCGAUCGGGGCAGUCAGCACGCGCCGAAUCGGCGUGCCUCCCGGCACCUGCGUGCUCUCGGCAACGGCCUGCGGGCCCCCC